UUGGCAUUGCUGUGGCUGUGCUGUGGCUGUAGCUCCAAUUCAACCUCUAGCCUGGGAACUUCCAUGUGCUGUGAGUGUGGCCCUAAAAAAGACGCCCCCCCCACCCCCAGAAAAAGAGAAAUGGGAGGAAGGGAGGAAGGAAGGAGGAAAGAAAGGGAGAGAAGAGAAGAAGGGGAGGAAAGAGAAGGAAUGAAUGAAUGAUGGAAGGAAGGAGCCUCUUUAACUUUCCACCACCCUGAGAUUUCCAUCUCCAACUUGCAGGGACUUGCUUGAGGAAACUACCAGGUGACUUGAGUCAAGAGGCUUUAAAGACAUUUGGCGUAUUUCUGAUGGUGUCAUGUUGGAGAAGGUUCUUUAGAAGGUUCUCCAGCCCAUUUGGGAAACUCCACGUAGCCCAUCAACCUCCCGCCAUCAAUCGCACCAACUAUAAAUUUCAUCCUGGGAAGGAAAUGUGCCUUGAGGGUUGCAUUCAUCUUCUAUGCCAGGUGCACGGGGAGAGCAGAGGAAGGGAAGGAAUCCAGGCCUUUUCACCCUCUGGGCUGCUUGUCCCUGGUGCCCUGAGCCCUGGAGGGCCGGGCUGGAAGCCAAGGAACAAAUUGGUGCUGCCCAGCUAGGGUACCACUGAGUUGAGUCACCCUGACCAGCAGGUCCACCGGCUCUUGGCAUGCAAGUCCAGCAAAACAGGACUCAGCACUUGCUGGGAUCUCCCUGAAGUGCAAUGAGUUUGGCUGGAACAUGAGUGGUUCAAGUUCUGACAUUUUGUUCAUCAUGGUAUUUUUGCAAUUGAUUCUGAUUUGGGGAGAAAGAUUGCAUUAAAUGUUUGUUUGUUU
Molecule: long non-coding RNA, 830 nt
Filed under: Sus scrofa (pig)
Lineage: Eukaryota; Metazoa; Chordata; Mammalia; Artiodactyla; Suidae
Description: lncRNA (ENSSSCG00055016164.1)
Source: RNAcentral